This is a long non-coding RNA of Nycticebus coucang (slow loris), 1473 nucleotides long. RefSeq lists it as uncharacterized. The record is from RefSeq and is a predicted model, not a curated record. The transcript is spliced from 6 exons. Lineage: Eukaryota; Metazoa; Chordata; Mammalia; Primates; Lorisidae.
UUCACACUGGGGGUGUUUGCUGCGUUCUUUGGCUGAGACAGCCCUGAUGAAGCUAGUUCUGAAAGGAGGGCAAAGUACACCCUGAGAGGAGGGUUCUGGACUGGCAGCAACAGCCUCUGCAUAGGCAAGCUCAUGACUCAUCCAAUCACACCUGAGACUGAGAGGAGGAGUGGAGAGACAGAGAGAAGAAGGGGAGUCCGAGAGUGCGGUGCAUAUUCCACACAUGCAUACUCCAGGCCUGGGAUGAGUUGGCUGCUAAGCAGGACAGACAGCAGUGGCAAAAACACCUGGCGGGCCAGAUAAAUGUCCUUGGCGGGCUGCAUGUGGCCUGCGGCCUGUAGUUUAAGGACCCCUGCCCUAGAGUAUUUUCAGAGAUAGUCUCUGUACGACUGAUGGAGCCCUGUUUUCUUCUUCUCCUUGUCAAGGUACCAGAGCAAGAUCAUAUGAAAAGGAGGUCAUUUUACUGGAGAAAGUGUGCUUGGUGGAGUGACCCAGGCUGUGAAGUGAAGAUAAUGUUUUCCCUAUCCACUUAACACCUUGUCUUUGGGAAAUGGACAAAAAGUUUACUCACAGUCAAAGUCAAAGAAGCUCAACUUUGCAAGUGAGGGGACUCCUUACAUCUUGUUGUAAGGAUCCUCAAGCACCUCCACGGAGAGGACCUGAGGCCUCCUGCAAAAGCUGGGCUGAACUUCCAAGCCAGGUGGAUGAAUUGUCUUUGAAGCAGAUCUUUCAGACAUAGUCAAACCUUCAGAUGACUGUAGUCUCAGCUAACAACUGGACUUAUAAGAAAGACUGGACUAAAAUGACAUAGCUCACCAUUCCAAAACUUUUGACCCACAGAAAAUGUUAGUUUGUACAGCACUGAGCAAUUUGUAAACCACUAUGGAAUAUGAGACUGACCCACUGGACGCUGCAUGCAGGGCCACUGGAGUACUGUCAGAGGACAAAGCCAGCACAGAGCAAGUGGAGCCAGGGUGAGGAAGAGACAGGUGGAAUUCUGACGACACCGGCUUAUCAGUCCAAGCCUGUAUACUUUGGGACUAUUAUAUGAAACACUAAGUUUCCUUUUGUGAUUAAGCCACUUUGAUUGGUUUUUCAGACACCUUAAGCUAGACUAGAGUCCCAACUGAUAACAGCUCUCCAGAGAUAGAUGUGGAUGGGGCAGGGGAGUACAAACAGUAGCCAACUCCUUCUACCAUUUUCCUCUGGCAGCGAGCCAUCUCUGUUCUGUUGCAUGGUCCCACUGGCCUCUGUUUGAAGAAGCCAUAACAUGAGACGUGCUGCCUCCAGAUCUUUUCAGGAAGGCGGACUGCAGGGAAAGUGAUCGUGAACUGCUGGAGAAUGUGUGGGUCUUAGUGUGAGUCCCACUUCCCAGAAGUGGGCAGGCCCAGUUCUCUGGAUUCUAUUGUGUUGAAUAUCCAUUAAUCUUUAAUUUCUUCUUCUCCUUCCAGAUAACUCCAGAAACAUUUAAUU